AGAGUUUGAUCCUGGCUCAGGACGAACGCUGGCGGCGUGCUUAACACAUGCAAGUCGAACGGAAAGGCCCUUCGGGGUACUCGAGUGGCGAACGGGUGAGUAACACGUGGGUGAUCUGCCCUGCGCUUUGGGAUAAGCCUGGGAAACUGGGUCUAAUACCGAAUAUGACCAUGCGCCUCCUGGUGUGUGGUGGAAAGCUUUUGCGGUGUGGGAUGGGCCCGCGGCCUAUCAGCUUGUUGGUGGGGUAAUGGCCUACCAAGGCGACGACGGGUAGCCGGCCUGAGAGGGUGACCGGCCACACUGGGACUGAGAUACGGCCCAGACUCCUACGGGAGGCAGCAGUGGGGAAUAUUGCACAAUGGGCGCAAGCCUGAUGCAGCGACGCCGCGUGAGGGAUGACGGCCUUCGGGUUGUAAACCUCUUUCAGCACAGACGAAGCGCAAGUGACGGUAUGUGCAGAAGAAGGACCGGCCAACUACGUGCCAGCAGCCGCGGUAAUACGUAGGGUCCGAGCGUUGUCCGGAAUUACUGGGCGUAAAGAGCUCGUAGGUGGUUUGUCGCGUUGUUCGUGAAAACUCACAGCUUAACUGUGGGCGUGCGGGCGAUACGGGCAGACUUGAGUACUGCAGGGGAGACUGGAAUUCCUGGUGUAGCGGUGGAAUGCGCAGAUAUCAGGAGGAACACCGGUGGCGAAGGCGGGUCUCUGGGCAGUAACUGACGCUGAGGAGCGAAAGCGUGGGGAGCGAACAGGAUUAGAUACCCUGGUAGUCC
This 771-nucleotide ribosomal RNA is filed under the name uncultured bacterium. RNAcentral's name for it is "bacterial SSU rRNA". It matches the Rfam family "Bacterial small subunit ribosomal RNA", at positions 8 to 796 of the family's 1533-position model. The record is from RNAcentral.